This 460-nucleotide ribosomal RNA is filed under the name uncultured bacterium. RNAcentral describes it as "SSU rRNA". It matches the Rfam family "Bacterial small subunit ribosomal RNA", at positions 26 to 518 of the family's 1533-position model. The record is from RNAcentral.
AGAACGAACGCUGGCGGCAUGCCUAACACAUGCAAGUCGAACGAGACCGCUGACUUCGGUUGGCGCGUCUAGUGGCGCACGGGUGCGUAACGCGUGGGAAUCUGCCCUUGGGUACGGAAUAACAGUUAGAAAUGACUGCUAAUACCGUAUAAUGACUUCGGUCCAAAGAUUUAUCGCCCAGGGAUGAGCCCGCGUAGGAUUAGCUUGUUGGUGAGGUAAAAGCUCACCAAGGCGACGAUCCUUAGCUGGUCUGAGAGGAUGAUCAGCCACACUGGGACUGAGACACGGCCCAGACUCCUACGGGAGGCAGCAGUGGGGGAAUAUUGGACAAUGGGCGAAAGCCUGAUCCAGCAAUGCCGCGUGAGUGAUGAAAGCCUUAGGGUUGUAAAGCUCUUUUGCCCGGGAUGAUAAUGACAGUACCGGGAGAAUAAGCUCCGGCUAACUCCGUGCCAGCAGCCGC